RNAcentral lists this transfer RNA (72 nucleotides) under Marmota monax (woodchuck). Its description in RNAcentral is "tRNA.Ser". Lineage: Eukaryota; Metazoa; Chordata; Mammalia; Rodentia; Sciuridae. The record is from RNAcentral.
GGGGAUGCAGCUCAGUGGUACAGUGCUUACCUAGAAUGCAGGAGGCACUGGGUUCAAUCCCCAACACUGCUU